AUUCUGUAGCAAGGUUAACCGUAUAGGGGAGCCGUAGGGAAACCGAGUCUUAACCGGGCGUUAAGUUGCAGGGUAUAGACCCGAAACCCGGUGAUCUAGCCAUGGGCAGGUUGAAGGUUGGGUAACACUAACUGGAGGACCGAACCGACUAAUGUUGAAAAAUUAGCGGAUGACCUGUGGCUGGGGGUGAAAGGCCAAUCAAACCGGGAGAUAGCUGGUUCUCCCCGAAAGCUAUUUAGGUAGCGCCUCGUGAAUUCAUCUCCGGGGGUAGAGCACUGUUUCGGCUAGGGGGCCAUCCCGGCUUACCAACCCGAUGCAAACUGCGAAUACCGGAGAAUGUUAUCACGGGAGACACACGGCGGGUGCUAACGUCCGUCGUGAAGAGGGAAACAACCCAGACCGCCAGCUAAGGUCCCAAAGUCAUGGUUAAGUGGGAAACGAUGUGGGAAGGCCCAGACAGCCAGGAUGUUGGCUUAGAAGCAGCCAUCAUUUAAAGAAAGCGUAAUAGCUCACUGGUCGAGUCGGCCUGCGCGGAAGAUGUAACGGGGCUAAACCAU
RNAcentral lists this ribosomal RNA (557 nucleotides) under Salmonella enterica. RNAcentral's name for it is "partial 23S ribosomal RNA". It matches the Rfam family "Bacterial large subunit ribosomal RNA", at positions 632 to 1190 of the family's 2925-position model. Lineage: Bacteria; Pseudomonadati; Pseudomonadota; Gammaproteobacteria; Enterobacterales; Enterobacteriaceae. RNAcentral also lists the same sequence under 3 other names. The record is from RNAcentral.